CCUACGGGAGGCUGCAGUGAGGAAUAUUGGUCAAUGGACGAGAGUCUGAACCAGCCAAGUAGCGUGAAGGAUGACUGCCCUAUGGGUUGUAAACUUCUUUUAUAUGGGAAUAAAAUGUUACACGUGUGGGAUUUUGUAUGUACCAUUUGAAUAAGGAUCGGCUAACUCCGUGCCAGCAGCCGCGGUAAUACGGAGGAUCCGAGCGUUAUCCGGAUUUAUUGGGUUUAAAGGGAGCGUAGGUGGAUUGUUAAGUCAGUUGUGAAAGUUUGCGGCUCAACCGUAAAAUUGCAGUUGAAACUGGCAGUCGUGAGUACAGUAGAGGUAGGCGGAAUUCGUGGUGUAGCGGUGAAAUGCGUAGAUAUCACGAAGAACUCCGAUUGCGAAGGCAGCUCACUGGACUGCAACUGACACUGAGGCUCGAAAGUGUGGGUAUCAAACAGGAUUAGAUACCCGGGUAGUC
RNAcentral lists this ribosomal RNA (460 nucleotides) under uncultured bacterium. Its description in RNAcentral is "partial 16S ribosomal RNA". It matches the Rfam family "Bacterial small subunit ribosomal RNA", at positions 338 to 795 of the family's 1533-position model. The record is from RNAcentral.